GUUAUAUGGUCAAGUGAAGAAGCGCAUACGGUGGAUGCCUUGGCAGUCAGAGGCGAUGAAAGACGUGGUAGCCUGCGAAAAGCUUCGGGGAGUCGGCAAACAGACUUUGAUCCGGAGAUCUCUGAAUGGGGGAACCCACCUAGGAUAACCUAGGUAUCUUGUACUGAAUCCAUAGGUGCAAGAGGCGAACCAGGGGAACUGAAACAUCUAAGUACCCUGAGGAAAAGAAAUCAACCGAGAUUCCCUUAGUAGUGGCGAGCGAACGGGGAUUAGCCCUUAAGCUUCAUUGAUUUUAGCGGAACGCUCUGGAAAGUGCGGCCAUAGUGGGUGAUAGCCCCGUACGCGAAAGGAUCUUUGAAGUGAAAUCGAGUAGGACGGAGCACGAGAAACUUUGUCUGAACAUGGGGGGACCAUCCUCCAAGGCUAAAUACUACUGACUGACCGAUAGUGAACCAGUACCGUGAGGGAAAGGCGAAAAGAACCCCGGAGAGGGGAGUGAAAUAGAACCUGAAACCGUAUGCGUACAAGCAGUGGGAGCCUACUUGUUAGGUGACUGCGUACCUUUUGUAUAAUGGGUCAGCGACUUAUAUUCAGUGGCAAGCUUAACCGUAUAGGGUAGGCGUAGCGAAAGCGAGUCUUAAUAGGGCGUUUAGUCGCUGGGUAUAGACCCGAAACCGGGCGAUCUAUCCAUGAGCAGGUUGAAGGUUAGGUAACACUGACUGGAGGACCGAACCCACUCCCGUUGAAAAGGUAGGGGAUGACUUGUGGAUCGGAGUGAAAGGCUAAUCAAGCUCGGAGAUAGCUGGUUCUCCUCGAAAGCUAUUUAGGUAGCGCCUCAUGUAUCACUCUGGGGGGUAGAGCACUGUUUCGGCUAGGGGGUCAUCCCGACUUACCAAACCGAUGCAAACUCCGAAUACCCAGAAGUGCCGAGCAUGGGAGACACACGGCGGGUGCUAACGUCCGUCGUGAAAAGGGAAACAACCCAGACCGCCAGCUAAGGUCCCAAAGUUGUGGUUAAGUGGUAAACGAUGUGGGAAGGCUUAGACAGCUAGGAGGUUGGCUUAGAAGCAGCCACCCUUUAAAGAAAGCGUAAUAGCUCACUAGUCGAGUCGGCCUGCGCGGAAGAUGUAACGGGGCUCAAACCACACACCGAAGCUGCGGGUGUCACGUAAGUGACGCGGUAGAGGAGCGUUCUGUAAGCCUGUGAAGGUGAGUUGAGAAGCUUGCUGGAGGUAUCAGAAGUGCGAAUGCUGACAUGAGUAACGACAAUGGGUGUGAAAAACACCCACGCCGAAAGACCAAGGGUUCCUGCGCAACGUUAAUCGACGCAGGGUUAGUCGGUUCCUAAGGCGAGGCUGAAAAGCGUAGUCGAUGGGAAACAGGUUAAUAUUCCUGUACUUCUGGUUACUGCGAUGGAGGGACGGAGAAGGCUAGGCCAGCUUGGCGUUGGUUGUCCAAGUUUAAGGUGGUAGGCUGAAAUCUUAGGUAAAUCCGGGGUUUCAAGGCCGAGAGCUGAUGACGAGUCGUCUUUUAGAUGACGAAGUGGUUGAUGCCAUGCUUCCAAGAAAAGCUUCUAAGCUUCAGGUAACCAGGAACCGUACCCCAAACCGACACAGGUGGUCGGGUAGAGAAUACCAAGGCGCUUGAGAGAACUCGGGUGAAGGAACUAGGCAAAAUGGCACCGUAACUUCGGGAGAAGGUGCGCCGGCUAGGGUGAAGGAUUUACUCCGUAAGCUCUGGCUGGUCGAAGAUACCAGGCCGCUGCGACUGUUUAUUAAAAACACAGCACUCUGCAAACACGAAAGUGGACGUAUAGGGUGUGACGCCUGCCCGGUGCCGGAAGGUUAAUUGAUGGGGUUAGCGCAAGCGAAGCUCUUGAUCGAAGCCCCGGUAAACGGCGGCCGUAACUAUAACGGUCCUAAGGUAGCGAAAUUCCUUGUCGGGUAAGUUCCGACCUGCACGAAUGGCGUAACGAUGGCGGCGCUGUCUCCACCCGAGACUCAGUGAAAUUGAAAUCGCUGUGAAGAUGCAGUGUAUCCGCGGCUAGACGGAAAGACCCCGUGAACCUUUACUGUAGCUUUGCACUGGACUUUGAGCCUGCUUGUGUAGGAUAGGUGGGAGGCUUUGAAGCGUGGACGCCAGUUCGCGUGGAGCCAUCCUUGAAAUACCACCCUGGCAUGCUUGAGGUUCUAACUCUGGUCCGUAAUCCGGAUCGAGGACAGUGUAUGGUGGGCAGUUUGACUGGGGCGGUCUCCUCCUAAAGAGUAACGGAGGAGUACGAAGGUGCGCUCAGACCGGUCGGAAAUCGGUCGUAGAGUAUAAAGGCAAAAGCGCGCUUGACUGCGAGACAGACACGUCGAGCAG
This 2364-nucleotide ribosomal RNA is filed under the name Pseudomonas aeruginosa. RNAcentral describes it as "bacterial LSU rRNA". It matches the Rfam family "Bacterial large subunit ribosomal RNA", at positions 1 to 2396 of the family's 2925-position model. The record is from RNAcentral. Lineage: Bacteria; Pseudomonadati; Pseudomonadota; Gammaproteobacteria; Pseudomonadales; Pseudomonadaceae.